CUGAGGAGCGAAAGCGUGGGGAGCGAACAGGAUUAGAUACCCUGGUAGUCCACGCCGUAAACGUUGGGCGCUAGGUGUGGGGGCCAUUCCACGGUCUCCGUGCCGCAGCUAACGCAUUAAGCGCCCCGCCUGGGGAGUACGGCCGCAAGGCUAAAACUCAAAGGAAUUGACGGGGGCCCGCACAAGCGGCGGAGCAUGUUGCUUAAUUCGAUGCAACGCGAAGAACCUUACCUAGGCUUGACAUGCACGGAAAUCUCGCAGAGAUGCGGGGUGCCUUUGGCGUCGUGCACAGGUGGUGCAUGGUUGUCGUCAGCUCGUGUCGUGAGAUGUUGGGUUAAGUCCCGCAACGAGCGCAACCCUCGUUCUAUGUUGCCAGCGGUUCGGCCGGGGACUCAUAGGAGACUGCCGGGGUCAACUCGGAGGAAGGUGGGGACGACGUCAAAUCAUCAUGCCCCUUAUGUCUUGGGCUUCACGCAUGCUACAAUGGCCGGUACAAAGGGUUGCGAUACUGUGAGGUGGAGCUAAUCCCAAAAAGCCGGUCUCAGUUCGG
RNAcentral lists this ribosomal RNA (550 nucleotides) under uncultured bacterium. RNAcentral describes it as "bacterial SSU rRNA". It matches the Rfam family "Bacterial small subunit ribosomal RNA", at positions 746 to 1296 of the family's 1533-position model. The record is from RNAcentral.